CAUUUACCAAGACCACCCUGGACUGCCUCGCCUCCAUCCUGGGCCUAUACAAACCCUCAAGACACUAGCGGGCCAGAGGAGGAGAAGAGCACAUCGGCCGCGGAAGGAGACACCAAGCGGCUGAGAGAGAAACAGUGAAACGCAGUUGCUGGGCCCUCUGUGUCUUUCUGCAGAGAGCAAGGAAGGCCCAGGAAAUGAGUGGCCUGGACCGUCGGUGGGUGAGGCCUGGACCCCGAGACCCCUCUCCUGGAGGGAAGUCAGGAUGGAGAGAGACCCAGAUCUAAGGCCACGAGGACUUGGCCUCCCAGAGGGCUGGGGGGCAACCAGUGAGAUGGGGUGGGGGCUGUGAGGCCCCAGAGGCGUUGAGAAAUGUGAAAUUCCUGGCAAGAAAAGGAAGUUGUUUGAAGGAAUUGGUGGGCUGGGAGCCAGAGCCCUGGGGGCUCCUCCAGGGACACCGGCAGACGGGAGUUACUUUGUCACCUUGUUCCUCGGAUUGACUGUGUUUCUCUGAGGACGCCUCGGGCGGAGACUGGGCCACAGGCAAUGCAUAUUUGGGAUAGCGCCUGUGCUGAAUCCUUUGCCCAGACAUCACACUUCCCUUCUGCAAGGCUGAAUCCUAGCUGAGAGACAUCCUCCCAAACACCAAUCAGCGCUCAGCGCUCCCCACCAGGCGGCACAGACCCCGCGGUUCUCACAGACCCCGCGGUUCGCACAGACCCCGCGGUUCGCACAGACCCGGCGGUUCUGCAGCUCCGUUCUCCGGGGUCCUCCAGUGCUUGAAUUUUGAGAAACGCUGCGGUCAGCAAUGGAGAUUUGUCUUUGAAAUAUUAUCCCACAAGAUGGCCCAUGUGGCCCCAUCUGGUUCCCCUCCCUUUCCCCUCACACCACCAUGGAUGGACGGCCGGGGCUCUGGUCGCUCCCUCUUGAGUCUGUGCUCCCCACUUGGGUUCCCGGGGAGAUUUUCCUGAAUCCAGCACUGCUGUUCCCCUCACUCAGGGGCCAGCCUCGAAGGUCAUCUCCAGUCCCCAAACCUGCAUUCAGAGCUCUGCAGGGCUUUGAGACACUAACUGUGUGACCUGCUGCGGCCAUUCUGAGAGAGGCCUCCGCGACCUGCUGGCAAGUCCCCUCUUCUGAGAACAACCCCCGUGUUUGCCCUGACAGGACGCUCACCACGCACCGAAUGGAAUUGUUCCCUGGGCUGGUCUGGCCCCACCACCAGGCAUGUGUCUGCCAGGUCUCUGCAGCCACCAUUCCUGGAGCAUGAGCAGCCACCAUGCUAGAGAAACAACAGGGGCUCAGGGUUUGAUGAGGAGACCAGGGAACAAGUGGAAUAAUGGGUCUGUAACCCAGAUAAACCCCAAGGCCCACAUGUCCAGGCACAGCGCUGAGUCACAUGCAAAGAAACAGCAGUCCAGCAACCAGAGAGUUGAGAAGGAGUCCCAAUCCUUGUUGCCAGCUUUGGAGAAAAACGUUUUAGGAGAUGCCUUUCAUAGUUCCAGCAAGGUCUCUGUGAAGCCCUCACUGUCUUCUCUCCCCAGUUCUCCCCUCUCUGAUGCCCCUGUCGUCUUUCUCUCAUCCCAACACUUACAAAAACUUGUCCUGGCCCCGUCGCAGGGCUCUUUCUCUCUCUGACAGCGCCCUCUCCCCCGGCUCUUU
This 1656-nucleotide long non-coding RNA is filed under the name Homo sapiens (human). RNAcentral's name for it is "HSALNT0216093". Lineage: Eukaryota; Metazoa; Chordata; Mammalia; Primates; Hominidae. The record is from RNAcentral.